Molecule: long non-coding RNA, 825 nt
Organism: Setaria italica (foxtail millet)
Lineage: Eukaryota; Viridiplantae; Streptophyta; Magnoliopsida; Poales; Poaceae
Exons: 2
Source: RefSeq, a predicted model, not a curated record
CCAUCUCCAUUUAAACCGGAGCGAGCUCACUGCAAUGUGUGUUGCAUUUUGCUAGGUUGAAAGGUGUUCGAGUUUAGGGAGAAAAAUAUAUAAGAAGCUGUGCAGACUUGCCUUGCAAAUUAAAUGGCGAUGCCGGUGGAGACGGCGGUGUGCAUCGCGCACAAUGUGUUCCUGCUGCUCGAUGGCUGGGUCUGGACGUGCGUCCUCGCCGCCGAUGAGACCGCGCGCCUCCUCCGUUCGGCAACACAGAGAUCGGCCAGCUAACUCAAGGGUUGGAGAGCACUUCAGGUGCUCUAGCACCUUUGGGUGCUCCUGUACUCCCACAAACAAAAACCGCCAAAAAAUAUAUAAAAUAUUCAACCAAAAAAUAUAUAUGUAUAAAUGAUGCAAGGAAUUAUGUUCAUGUAAAAUUUGGUGUUAGAAAAUUUUAACGUAAGGAGAAACAAAUGGAGAAAUCAUCCUAUAAAUAGUGUGGGUUGUACGGUUUUUCUUAUACCCGCAACCCACCACUGUUUAUAGGCUGAUAUCACCUUUCUAUUUCUCCUCGUACAAAUAUUUUCACCCUCCAUUGAAGAUAGAUGCUUGCUUAUUCUAUCUAUACAUAUUUUUUUGCAACUCUCCAUGUGCAUCUACCGUUGUUUUAUUGAACGGGAGUACUGGAGCACUGGAACCGCGGGAGUAUAGUAGGUGCAUCGUGUGCAUACGAUGGUAGAUAUUGAUAUGUCAGUAGAUGCUUUCUCCUUUUUCCGGUAUACAAAAUGAUGUAAAUUCUGAGAUAGCUCAUAUAUUUUUUCCUUUCUUUCUUUUCUUUUUGUUUUCAAUAAA